Molecule: ribosomal RNA, 479 nt
Filed under: uncultured bacterium
Lineage: Bacteria
Description: bacterial SSU rRNA
Rfam family: Bacterial small subunit ribosomal RNA
Source: RNAcentral
AAUCAACGCUGGCGGCGUGCCUAACACAUGCAAGUCGAACGCGAAAGCCCGCAAGGGUGAGUAGAGUGGCGCACGGGUGAGUAACACGUGGACAACCUGCCUUCGAGUGGGGAAUAACCUUCCGAAAGGAGGGCUAAUACCGCAUAACACCUCGGGACACAAGUUCUGGGGUUGAAAAGAGCAAUUUGCUCGAAGAGGGGUCCGCGCCUGAUUAGCUAGUUGGUGAGGUAACGGCUCACCAAGGCUUCGAUCAGUAGCCGUCCUGAGAGGGAGCACGGCCACACUGGAACUGAGACACGGUCCAGACUCCUACGGGAGGCAGCAGUGGGGAAUUUUGGCAAUGGGCGAAAGCCUGACCAAGCAACGCCGCGUGGGUGAUGAAGUAUCUUGGUACGUAAAACCCUUUCGGCAGGGACGAACCUAAUGACGGUACCUGCGGAAGAAGCCCCGGCUAACUCCGUGCCAGCCGCCGCCGUAAC